Molecule: ribosomal RNA, 774 nt
Filed under: uncultured Neocallimastigales
Lineage: Eukaryota; Fungi; Neocallimastigomycota; Neocallimastigomycetes; Neocallimastigales
Description: partial large subunit ribosomal RNA
Rfam family: Eukaryotic large subunit ribosomal RNA
Source: RNAcentral
UACUAGAGUAGCACUCGCAUAUCAAUAAGCGGAGGAAAAGAAACUAACAAGGAUUCCCCUAGUAACGGCGAGUGAAGCGGGAAGAGCUCAAAUUUGAAAUCUUAAAGGGUUUCCCUUUACGAAUUGUAGUUUAAAGAAGUGUUUUCUGCUGAGGUUUUGGUAAAAGUUCUUUGGAAUAGGACAUCAUAGAGGGUGAGAAUCCCGUAUUUGACCCUUACUUUCAACUUUGUGAUACACUUUCAAAGAGUCGGAUUGUUUGGGAAUGCAGUCCAAAAUGGGUGGUAAAUUUCAUCUAAAGCUAAAUAUUGGCGAGAGACCGAUAGCGAACAAGUACCGUGAGGGAAAGAUGAAAAGAACUUUGAAAAGAGAGUUAAACAGUACGUGAAAUUGUCAAAAGGGAAGCGUUUGACACCAGUGUUGUUUUUCUGAAAAUCAAUUAAAGAACUGUUUAUGCUAAGUUGUUUAGACUUUAUCAGCUAUCUGCUUAGUUUUGAGCUUUUCUUUAAUGCACUUUUCAGUUAACAAGUCAACAUCAAUUUCUUUUGCUGUAAAAAAGCUUGAGGAAGGUGGCUUGAGAUUCGUCUUAAGUGUUUAUAGCCUCUUGCCUAUGCAGUCGGAGAGAUUGAGGUCUGCAGCGUAGAUCCUUCGGGGCUAAAUGCAUUUGUGCUAAGUUAUAGCAUUUUAUAGACAACUUGUUGACUAUGAUUUGUCUUGUAGCUUACUCGCUUAUGUUAUUUUACCUACGCUUAGGAUGUUGAACUACUGAGACAUAGA